Nymphaea colorata (pocket water lily) is the source of this 886-nucleotide RNA transcript. It is a transcript of the gene named peroxisomal acyl-coenzyme A oxidase 1-like, with no coding region annotated. The record is from RefSeq and is a predicted model, not a curated record. NCBI's taxonomy places the organism in Eukaryota, Viridiplantae, Streptophyta, Magnoliopsida, Nymphaeales, Nymphaeaceae. The transcript has 4 exons.
CUAUGGAUUGAGUUGUAGAAGGCCUUUUCUUUGGACUUGCAAACUGUUUGUCAAUAGCAUCGGACCCCAAAGGUGACACACCGAACGAGAACUCAACCACCCACCCUGUUAUCGACCUGAUCACCGGGAUUGUUCUCAGGGCAAAGAGGGAAACAAGGAUGCAGACGGGACCAGAAGGGAUGAACUAUUAUCAACUACCAUCGUCGAGCCCAUCGGCAGUCGGCUGGAGAUGCACACGAAGGCAUUUAGGAGCAGCGAAGCCCGUCAAUGAGGAAGCCUGUUUUCACAUGUGAAGAUGAAUCCUCGUAGAAAAAGAUGGAAUGUUUGUGCUUGCUAUAAGAGGCAGUGUGCUGAUGAGCAACGUAAAAAGUGGUUACCGUUAGCAUAUAAGAUACAGAUUAUUGGCCGUUAUGCACAGGCAGAACUUGGUCGUGGUUCAAAUGUUCAAGACCUUGAGACUACAGCUACGUGUGGCAGGAAUUCAGAUGAAUUUAUCAUCCACAGUCCCCACAUUGACUUCAAACAAAGCGAUGGUGGCCUAGGUAAAGCAUAAAGGCAUGCAAUUGUAUAUGCUCGCUGAUGAUGAAGAACGUGGAAUACGUGGUGACUGGGUUUGCUCUACUUUGUCUCUCAUUCAAUACGUUUACUUUAAACACCUAGAAAGCAAUAACUUUUAUAUUUUUGAAAAUUUCAUAGGAUUUAUUGUUCAAUUGUGAAGUUUAGAAGAUCAUUCACCCCUUCCUAGUGCCUGUUUGAUGCCUAGCGUGUCAUUUGGUCCAUACUCCAAGUCUUAGAUAAUUGGAGAAUGAAGGGAAUUAUCUUGUCCAAAAGUUCUAGCUGAAAUCGUUUCAUGUUUGUACUACUUUCUCCUUCGUCUGGUAUUAUA